AGAGUUUGAUCAUGGCUCAGGACGAACGCUGGCGGCGUGCUUAACACAUGCAAGUCGAGCGGUAAGGCCCUUUCGGGGGUACACGAGCGGCGAACGGGUGAGUAACACGUGGGUGACCUGCCCUCAGCUCUGGGAUAAGCCUGGGAAACUGGGUCUAAUACCGGAUAUGACUCCAUGACGCAUGUUGUGGGGUGGAAAGCCUUGUGCGGCUGAGGAUGGGCCCGCGGCCUAUCAGCUUGUUGGUGGGGUGAUGGCCUACCAAGGCGACGACGGGUAGCCGGCCUGAGAGGGCGACCGGCCACACUGGGACUGAGAUACGGCCCAGACUCCUACGGGAGGCAGCAGUGGGGAAUAUUGCGCAAUGGGGGAAACCCUGACGCAGCAACGCCGCGUGGGUGAUGAAGGCCUUCGGGUCGUAAAGCCCUGUCGGGAGGAAAGAAUUGGUUGGGGUCGAAUAGGCCUUGAUCUUGACGGUACCUCCAAAGGAAGCACCGGCCAACUCCGUGCCAGCAGCCGCGGUAAU
RNAcentral lists this ribosomal RNA (523 nucleotides) under uncultured Actinomycetes bacterium. RNAcentral's name for it is "bacterial SSU rRNA". It matches the Rfam family "Bacterial small subunit ribosomal RNA", at positions 8 to 524 of the family's 1533-position model. The record is from RNAcentral. Lineage: Bacteria; Bacillati; Actinomycetota; Actinomycetes.